This 253-nucleotide ribosomal RNA is filed under the name uncultured bacterium. RNAcentral describes it as "partial 16S ribosomal RNA". It matches the Rfam family "Bacterial small subunit ribosomal RNA", at positions 524 to 776 of the family's 1533-position model. The record is from RNAcentral.
UACGUGGGUGGCAAGCGUUAUCCGGAUUUAUUGGGCGUAAAGGGAACGCAGGCGGUCUUUUAAGUCUGAUGUGAAAGCCUUCGGCUUAACCGGAGUAGUGCAUUGGAAACUGGGAGACUUGAGUGCAGAAGAGGAGAGUGGAACUCCAUGUGUAGCGGUGAAAUGCGUAGAUAUAUGGAAGAACACCAGUGGCGAAAGCGACUCUCUGGUCUGUAACUGACGCUGAGGUUCGAAAGCGUGGGUAGCAAACAGG